RNAcentral lists this unclassified non-coding RNA (236 nucleotides) under Hevea brasiliensis (rubber tree). Lineage: Eukaryota; Viridiplantae; Streptophyta; Magnoliopsida; Malpighiales; Euphorbiaceae. The record is from RNAcentral.
GCGAUUGGUAGUGCUGGUUUCGCUCCUCACCAGUUGUUGUUGCUGGUAUUUUGCUGCCUUCGCCGAAAUUGCUGAUCAUAGGAGCGAGGGGGAGAAAGAAGAAGCAGAAGAGAUAGAGACAAGGGAAGCGAUAGUGAGGCGACGCCGACACUGCUCAGCUCGCACGGCCACGCCUGGCUGCUUGCCGUAUGAAUGUAUAUACUAGCAUACAUCUAGUGCACCAAAUUUCUAGUUCU